UUUUUUUUUUUUUUUUUGUUUUCCCCUUUUUUGUCGUCAUUUGUAUGAG
This 49-nucleotide non-coding RNA is filed under the name Compsopogon caeruleus. Lineage: Eukaryota; Rhodophyta; Compsopogonophyceae; Compsopogonales; Compsopogonaceae. The record is from RNAcentral.